UCUUAUCACAUAUUUUUCUUUUGUUUGCUGCGUUUUUGUAUGCAGUCAACUGAUAGUUGACUGUAUAUUAUUGUUCAAGUAAUUUGAACACACAUAUUUCUUCGGUAAAUCUUAUAACUUGCACUAGCAGUCAGUGUACAAACACAAGGUACGAAAUUGCGAUCAACUUAAAUCUGCCACCAAUAGUUACAUAUUCACAGGCUAGUUCAGUAAGUAGAACAUAAAAAUGCAGUUAGUAGUGUUAUUAAAAAUCGUGGAUCCUACGAAUACAAGCAACAAUUCGACUGUUAGAUUUGGGUGCGUCUCAGUGUGAAAUACAACGCGCUAUACCAAAGAUAGAAAAGAAAGAACAAACGUGACAGAAACGCAUAUUAGAGAGUGCAGCUAGUAAUCUCAAUAAGGAAAUGCGAUUGGACUCCGUGUUGUUUGAAAGUUAAGUUUUCAACAAUAGUGACAACCAAAAAAUGGGCGUUAGAAUGGUCGAUCGAUGAUACGCGUUUACAGUAGGCAUUAGGAACCUUGGCGAAAAGGUCCCGUAGAAUUUGGGUGAACCUGCUACACAGAUGACACUCAACCCUUUUCUAAUUUGCUGGUGUGACGUCAAAUAACAUAACAUUAUAUGUAUGUGUAAGCAAGGCUUUCAUUUACUACUCCGUAGCAGCAAAAUUUCUAGAAUUAUUGCCAGGAAUAAUGGGAUGCCCAACUCCUCUCUCACUGGAAAAGAGAGAACAAUUACCAGAGAUAAAGAGAUGUUUAACUCCUCUCUCACUGGAAGUGAGAGAGCAAUUGCUAAACGUCAAAACCACCUAAACUUUGACAGUUGAUCGAGUUCAGGAGGUUUUGACGUUUAGCAAUUGGAAACGAGCGAUGGCCAGAUUGAAAUCUUACCAAAAAAAUAUGUAAACGGAGGGAUUGGUUGCAUCGUUCAAGACCACUUAUAAAAAAUGUAAAACAAUGAAAAUUAAAUAAAUUUGUGAAAUCUAAAGAUAUUUGAUGAAACGUUUUGUAAUUUGAA
This is a long non-coding RNA of Bactrocera neohumeralis, 1015 nucleotides long. RefSeq lists it as uncharacterized. NCBI's taxonomy places the organism in Eukaryota, Metazoa, Arthropoda, Insecta, Diptera, Tephritidae. The record is from RefSeq and is a predicted model, not a curated record. The transcript has 4 exons.